Molecule: long non-coding RNA, 1018 nt
Organism: Pomacea canaliculata
Lineage: Eukaryota; Metazoa; Mollusca; Gastropoda; Architaenioglossa; Ampullariidae
Exons: 5
Source: RefSeq, a predicted model, not a curated record
GACCUCAAACUCGGAGUCAUUGCUGUAUGGUGUGUCCUCGAUAACAUCACGAUGAACAAGUUGUGGUGGUCCCUGGUGUUUGUGGCACACACACUGCCACAUGUUUUCUGCCGGAAAGAGUCUGUUGACAUCAGCAAGGGACAACAGCAAGGCGACAGUCUCAGGGAGCUGAGAGAACUAGUUGAAAAACUGGACAAGAGACUGGAUAGCUUUGAAAAGAAAUUUGAAGAUCAAGAAAAGAUCAACCAGCAACUAAAAUCAUCUCUUGAAGAAUGCAUCCGUAAAGAACAGGAACCCAGAGUAGAUCCAGUAGUGACCAGGCGAUAGAUGGAUUAUCAGAAUCCCACCUUAAAAAAAGAUCAGACGACACCGCCAGCUGGGAGCCUGUCGUGGCUCAGGUGACACAACGACUGAACCUGGCGGAGGCCAACAUCCAGGCCUUGAAGAAUGCCGACAUCGCUGAACAACAGGCGAGAGGUACGGUGUACGUGCGUUGGGGUCAAAGUGCGUGUCCUACCUCAGCCGAUCUAGUCUACUCAGGCUACGUCGGCGGAUCCUGGUACGGACACACAGGUGCAGCAGUGAAUUACCUGUGUCUGCCACCGACCCCACCUUCACCAAUCACACCCUUCCUAGAUACGGACACGCUCUACUUUACGGCGCGGAGUACGAAACUUGCGAUGAGCCGGAGUGCGACCUGUCGCCCAGCUGCGCCCGUGUGUCACAUCUCGCGCGAGUCCUCCGUCAUGCUCCCAGCCAGGGACACCUGCUACCCGGGGUGGACUCUCGAGUACUCCGGGUACCUCAUGACCAAUCAUUUUAGCUACGCGGCUAGUAUGGAGUUCAUCUGUGUCGAUUCAAGUCUCGGGUACAUCCUUAGCAGUAAGGCCAACGACAACGGUGCUCUGCUUCACUACACAACUAUAUCAGUGCGGCAGUCUGCCCUGUCCUCCCUACAUCGUCGAUAAAGUCGUCUCCUGUGCUGUUUGCUCGAAAUAAAUGACAACUGGAUGAGUAA